Molecule: ribosomal RNA, 497 nt
Filed under: uncultured bacterium
Lineage: Bacteria
Description: partial 16S ribosomal RNA
Rfam family: Bacterial small subunit ribosomal RNA
Source: RNAcentral
GAUGAACGCUGGCGGCGUGCCUAAUACAUGCAAGUCGAGCGAACGGACGAGAAGCUUGCUUCUCUGAUGUUAGCGGCGGACGGGUGAGUAACACGUGGAUAACCUACCUAUAAGACUGGGAUAACUUCGGGAAACCGUAGCUAAUACCGGAUAAUAUUUUGAACCGCAUGGUUCAAAAGUGAAAGACGGUCUUGCUGUCACUUAUAGAUGGAUCCGCGCUGCAUUAGCUAGUUGGUAAGGUAACGGCUUACCAAGGCAACGAUGCAUAGCCGACCUGAGAGCGUGGUCGGCCACCCUGGAACUGAGACACGGUCCAGACUCCUACGGGAGGCAGCAGUAGGGAAUCUUCCGCAAUGGGCCAAAGCCUGACGGAGCAACGCCGCGUGAGUGAUGAAGGUCUUCGGAUCGUAAAACUCUGUUAUUAGGGAAGAACAUAUGUGUAAGUAACUGUGCACAUCUUGACGGUACCUAAUCAGAAAGCCACGGCUAACUACGUG